UCUGGUGUUGAAAAAUGCAGUUGGUUGCUGCAUCAGCACCAAAGAUGUCAGCUCAGACAAACUGAUAUCACACACCCCUCAAAGAUUCAUGAGGUGAAAAACGAUGAUCUGGGAGUGAAGCAUGCCAGAAUUGUUAGCUGUGGGUAAGAUUAAUUCAACCUGAUCUCAAGCAGAUCUGUGACUUGUUGGGGAAGCAGGCCCAGCUGAGCGGAGAGUUCCACUGGAAACAUCUCAGGCUGAUGCUCACAAGUCCGGGGGCCCUAUGCAGCCAGGAUGCAAUCUACCCAGGUCUCCUUCACUCCGUUGCAGGCCACCACGUACCCUGGGUGCACCACCAGCGGAAGCGGCAAGGAGGCCCCAGAUCGUUGUUGCAGUCUCCUGUGUGCGUGCCUGGUCUUUUCGUCCUUCAUAGUUUCCUGUGUCACUAAAGACCAAUGAUCGCUCACUCUUGUUUCACCGUGGGACCAUCUCAGUCCCUGUGUCACGCUCUCCUGCUGUCUGUUUCUGGACCUGAUCCCUGGCUAUCGGAGUUCUUACCCCGUAUUCACAGUGUGACCUUGUUUACUCUCUGAUGUUCUGUGUUAUCUUAUUUCAUUAAACUUAUUGAACUUG
Long non-coding RNA from Carassius gibelio (silver crucian carp), 612 nucleotides. RefSeq lists it as uncharacterized. NCBI's taxonomy places the organism in Eukaryota, Metazoa, Chordata, Actinopteri, Cypriniformes, Cyprinidae. The record is from RefSeq and is a predicted model, not a curated record. The transcript has 3 exons.